AGGUACCAAUAUGGCGGAGGCUUCUUUUGGAAGUUCGAGCCCAGUUGGGUCUUUGUCUUCUGAGGAUCAUGAUUUUGACCCCACUGCUGAGAUGUUGGUCCAUGACUAUGAUGAUGAAAGAACUCUUGAAGAAGAGGAAAUGAUGGAUGAGGGUAAAAACUUCAGUUCGGAAAUUGAAGACUUAGAAAAGGAAGGAACCAUGCCUCUAGAAGAUUUACUGGCAUUCUAUGGCUAUGAACCUACAAUUCCAGCAGUUGCAAAUUCCAGUGCAAAUAGUUCCCCGAGUGAACUGGCAGAUGAACUACCAGACAUGACACUAGACAAAGUAAGUGUGAGCAUUUGAAAGGAAAAUUCAGGGUCUGUUACCAUUGACUGCUUUUACUUCCAUUUAAAG
RNAcentral lists this small RNA (394 nucleotides) under Pongo abelii (Sumatran orangutan). Its description in RNAcentral is "retained intron". Lineage: Eukaryota; Metazoa; Chordata; Mammalia; Primates; Hominidae. The record is from RNAcentral.